RNAcentral lists this ribosomal RNA (253 nucleotides) under uncultured bacterium. RNAcentral's name for it is "partial 16S ribosomal RNA". It matches the Rfam family "Bacterial small subunit ribosomal RNA", at positions 524 to 776 of the family's 1533-position model. The record is from RNAcentral.
UACGGAGGAUCCAAGCGUUAUCCGGAUUUACUGGGUUUAAAGGGUGCGUAGGCGGAUUGAUAAGUCAGUGGUGAAAGCCUACAGCUUAACUGUAGAACUGCCAUUGAUACUGCCAGUCUGGAGUAUGGUUGAGGUAGCUGGAAUGUGUCAUGUAGCGGUGAAAUGCUUAGAGAUGACACAGAACACCAACGGCGAAGGCAGGUUACCAACCCAUUACUGACGCUGAGGCACGAAAGCGUGGGGAUCAAACAGG